Molecule: long non-coding RNA, 205 nt
Filed under: Brassica napus (rape)
Lineage: Eukaryota; Viridiplantae; Streptophyta; Magnoliopsida; Brassicales; Brassicaceae
Description: long non-coding RNA (BNAP_LNC011166)
Source: RNAcentral
GACCCUUGAAAAAUCCAUUUCAGGAACAAAGGUCGAAUCAUUUCUAACAGGGCCACCAGUUUUUUCUCCAUUGUGUAUAGGAUAUCAUUAAAGUCCCCUAGCAUACACCAACUCCCUUUUCUACAAAUUCCAAUCCUUGAAAGACGUUCUCAGAUCUCAGAACGAUUUACACCAGAAGGAUCUCUGUAUACACAGGAUAUAAAGA